This 465-nucleotide ribosomal RNA is filed under the name Vreelandella stevensii. Its description in RNAcentral is "partial 16S ribosomal RNA". It matches the Rfam family "Bacterial small subunit ribosomal RNA", at positions 338 to 795 of the family's 1533-position model. The record is from RNAcentral. Lineage: Bacteria; Pseudomonadati; Pseudomonadota; Gammaproteobacteria; Oceanospirillales; Halomonadaceae.
CCUACGGGCGGCAGCAGUGGGGAAUAUUGGACAAUGGGCGAAAGCCUGAUCCAGCCAUGCCGCGUGUGUGAAGAAGGCCUUCGGGUUGUAAAGCACUUUCAGUGGGGAAGAAAGCCUUGGGGCUAAUACCCUCGAGGAAGGACAUCACCCACAGAAGAAGCACCGGCUAACUCCGUGCCAGCAGCCGCGGUAAUACGGAGGGUGCGAGCGUUAAUCGGAAUUACUGGGCGUAAAGCGCGCGUAGGCGGUCUGAUAAGCCGGUUGUGAAAGCCCCGGGCUCAACCUGGGAACGGCAUCCGGAACUGUGAGGCUAGAGUGCAGGAGAGGAAGGUAGAAUUCCCGGUGUAGCGGUGAAAUGCGUAGAGAUCGGGAGGAAUACCAGUGGCGAAGGCGGCCUUCUGGACUGACACUGACGCUGAGGUGCGAAAGCGUGGGUAGCAAACAGGAUUAGAUACCCUGGUAGUC